Molecule: ribosomal RNA, 264 nt
Filed under: uncultured bacterium
Lineage: Bacteria
Description: partial 16S ribosomal RNA
Rfam family: Bacterial small subunit ribosomal RNA
Source: RNAcentral
UACAACGAGUCGCAAGCUCGCGAGAGUAAGCUAAUCUCUUAAAGCCGUUCUCAGUUCGGACUGUAGGCUGCAACUCGCCUACACGAAGUCGGAAUCGCUAGUAAUCGCGGACCAGCAUGCCGCGGUGAAUACGUUCCCGGGCCUUGUACACACCGCCCGUCACACCACGGGAGUUUGUAACGCCCAAAGUCGGUGGCCUAACCUUUAUGGAGGGAGCCGCCUAAGGCGGGACAGAUGACUGGGGUGAAGUCGUAACAAGGUACC